RNAcentral lists this small RNA (1630 nucleotides) under Arabidopsis thaliana (thale cress). Its description in RNAcentral is "ATSL262800". Lineage: Eukaryota; Viridiplantae; Streptophyta; Magnoliopsida; Brassicales; Brassicaceae. The record is from RNAcentral.
UUUUGUUUUAUAGUUAACAAAAAUAGCAAAAGCGGUGAUCGGAGAAAUAAUGAGAGGAAAUGACUUCUAGAUGCAUUGAGUGACGAGAAAAAAGAGAGAUACGAAAGUUACCAAAAUGUCUUGGCCAACCCAAAAUACGAUGUGUGUCAUUUGAUAAACCAGAAAACAGCAAACGCCAAACAAAAAAUAUUCACUAAAAGCGAAAACACUGACAUUGUUCCAAGCAAAGCGAGCUUCACAAAUUUCUGGCCAAGAUGUCUGCAUUUUCUGCAGGCGGAUCAAACAUAUAUCUAUUAAGAGAUGUUGCAAGAAACAGAGAGAAGUGAACCCUUAUUUCUAAAAAGUAAAAUCACAUCAAUUCAUACCAACAGAGAGACAUUCUUGCCUUCAAAAACCCAUUGCUAAAGAAUUAAAUCCUAUUUCCAAUACGAAGUUUGAAAAUUUGGUGAAAAUAGUUGACAAUUUCUCCAGCCCACAACGCCGAUUUGGUGAACCGCCGACACCAUGGACAACCAGAGUUGGUGGAGAUGAUGCGCUAACAGUGUGACGACAACCUGAUCUUAGAAACAUUGACGGAUUACAAAUCGUUCUGAUUUUGCUUUUUCUCGGCGUUGUCGCCGAAGUGAGAGAGAGAGGAGGAAGAAAAAUCAUGGGAUUAAUUUUUUUUACCUUUAAUAUUUACCAAUACAACCAAUAAAAUGUUGUCACGUCGCUCCCGCACUAAACCUAAGAGCGCCUCUAAGCUAAGAACUGCUCUAAGGUUUAUUGAUCAUUUAACAUUAAAUUUCAAUCUUUAAUUAACCUAAGAAACCUCUAAAAUUCCCCAUGUAAUGAUGCUCUUACAACUGUGAAAAGAAAGACUAAGAAUCACUUUUGAGUUUUGAAAUAUAUAUGUAUUUAUUAUAUUGGUCGUCUAAUGUGGUGUUUAGGUCAACUUAAAUGGCUUAAAUAUUAGGAGUAUUUGCAAACCUACCAUUUUUAUACUAUUCUUUUGUAACAAUAUCCUUAUCGUUUGGGAUUAUUAUGUUUAGCGGAAAAGAGGAACAUUUAUGGCAGGAAGCACAAGUUGAGCUUCAUGUUGAAAGCCAUGAUCAUUUGAAUUUAGGAGCUCGAUCUCGGGUGAGGGAUAUCUCACAGCAUACUAACUAUUCAGGUUUUCUUUGUUUUGUUGACGGAUCAUGGAAAGAAAGUGAUCAAUUUUCCGGAUUAGGAUGGUGUUGUACAUCAUCAUCAGGAGAGUCACCUACCAUGUGCGCCGUUAAUCUUCGUAGAGGUCGAUCUCCUCUAUAUACAGAAGUGGAAGCUCUUCUUUGGGCGAUGAAGUAUAUGAUUGGAGAAGACAACCAAUACGUAGCUUUCUUUACAGACUGUUCAGAUUUGGUGAAGAUGGUGUGUUCCCUAAACGAAUGGCCUACAUUCACUUUGUAUUUGGAGGAAUUGCAAAACGACAAUGAAGAAUUCACAAAGUUCUCUUUAUCUUUAACUAGAUAAGGCCCGCCUAUAUAAGCGGGUCUAAGAUAUAAAUUUUAUUGUUAUUAUUGAAUUUCGAAUAGUAAAAUAGUAAUCUUCACAAAAAUUUUGAUAUUUAACUUAAUAAUAUUACAUAUUCUAUUUUAUAAUAAUUUUUAUU